GCGAGUGAGUAAUUUUGCAGG
This 21-nucleotide non-coding RNA is filed under the name Arabidopsis thaliana (thale cress). Lineage: Eukaryota; Viridiplantae; Streptophyta; Magnoliopsida; Brassicales; Brassicaceae. The record is from RNAcentral.